UCCCAGAUGGCUCAGUGGCCAAGAAUCUGCCUUCCAAUGCAGGAGACCAGGGUUUGAUCCCUGGUCUGGGAA
This 72-nucleotide transfer RNA is filed under the name Ovis aries (sheep). It matches the Rfam family "tRNA". Rfam says of the family: Transfer RNA (tRNA) molecules are approximately 80 nucleotides in length. The record is from Rfam by way of RNAcentral. Lineage: Eukaryota; Metazoa; Chordata; Mammalia; Artiodactyla; Bovidae.